CACAUAAUAGCUUAAUUUAAAGCAUUAAACUUUUAAUUUAAAUAUAAGAAUAUUCUUUUAUGUGG
RNAcentral lists this transfer RNA (65 nucleotides) under Fistulobalanus kondakovi. Its description in RNAcentral is "tRNA-Lys". It matches the Rfam family "tRNA". From Rfam's summary of the family: Transfer RNA (tRNA) molecules are approximately 80 nucleotides in length. Their secondary structure includes four short double-helical elements and three loops (D, anti-codon, and T loops). Further hydrogen bonds mediate the characteristic L-shaped molecular structure. tRNAs have two regions of fundamental functional importance: the anti-codon, which is responsible for specific mRNA codon recognition, and the 3' end, to which the tRNAs corresponding amino acid is attached (by aminoacyl-tRNA synthetases). tRNAs cope with the degeneracy of the genetic code in two manners: having more than one tRNA (with a specific anti-codon) for a particular amino acid; and 'wobble' base-pairing, i.e. permitting non-standard base-pairing at the 3rd anti-codon position. The record is from RNAcentral. RNAcentral also lists the same sequence under 1 other name. Lineage: Eukaryota; Metazoa; Arthropoda; Thecostraca; Balanomorpha; Balanidae.